GCGGAGAUUGCCGAGCCAGGCCAAAGGCGAUGGAUUUAGGGUCCAUUUCCGCAGGGAUUCGGGGGUUCGAAUCCCCCUCUCCGCA
Molecule: transfer RNA, 85 nt
Filed under: Picrophilus oshimae DSM 9789
Lineage: Archaea; Methanobacteriati; Thermoplasmatota; Thermoplasmata; Thermoplasmatales; Picrophilaceae
Description: tRNA-Leu (TAG) (tRNA-Leu-TAG-1-1)
Rfam family: tRNA
About the family: Transfer RNA (tRNA) molecules are approximately 80 nucleotides in length. Their secondary structure includes four short double-helical elements and three loops (D, anti-codon, and T loops).
Source: Rfam by way of RNAcentral